AUUGAACGCUGGCGGCAUGCUUUACACAUGCAAGUCGAACGGUAACAGGUUAAGUUGACGAGUGGCGAACGGGUGAGUAAUGCAUCGGAACGUGCCCGGUCGUGGGGGAUAACGCAGCGAAAGCUGCGCUAAUACCGCAUACGAUCUAAGGAUGAAGGCGGGGGACCGUAAGGCCUCGCGCGAUCGGAGCGGCCGAUGUCAGAUUAGGUAGUUGGUGGGGUAAAGGCUCACCAAGCCAACGAUCUGUAGCUGGUCUGAGAGGACGACCAGCCACACUGGGACUGAGACACGGCCCAGACUCCUACGGGAGGCAGCAGUGGGGAAUUUUGGACAAUGGGCGAAAGCCUGAUCCAGCAAUGCCGCGUGCAGGAAGAAGGCCUUCGGGUUGUAAACUGCUUUUGUACGGAGCGAAAAGGUCUCCUCUAAUACAGGUGGCUCAUGACGGUACCGUAAGAAUAAGCACCGGCUAACUACGUGCCAGCCGCCGCAGUAA
This 493-nucleotide ribosomal RNA is filed under the name uncultured bacterium. Its description in RNAcentral is "partial 16S ribosomal RNA". It matches the Rfam family "Bacterial small subunit ribosomal RNA", at positions 30 to 523 of the family's 1533-position model. The record is from RNAcentral.